RNAcentral lists this ribosomal RNA (497 nucleotides) under uncultured bacterium. RNAcentral describes it as "partial 16S ribosomal RNA". It matches the Rfam family "Bacterial small subunit ribosomal RNA", at positions 28 to 507 of the family's 1533-position model. The record is from RNAcentral.
GAUGAACGCUGGCGGCGUGCCUAAUACAUGCAAGUCGAGCGAACAGACGAGGAGCUUGCUCCUCUGACGUUAGCGGCGGACGGGUGAGUAACACGUGGAUAACCUACCUAUAAGACUGGGAUAACUUCGGGAAACCGGAGCUAAUACCGGAUAAUAUAUUGAACCGCAUGGUUCAAUAGUGAAAGACGGUUUUGCUGUCACUUAUAGAUGGAUCCGCGCCGCAUUAGCUAGUUGGUAAGGUAACGGCUUACCAAGGCAACGAUGCGUAGCCGACCUGAGAGGGUGAUCGGCCACACUGGAACUGAGACACGGUCCAGACUCCUACGGGAGGCAGCAGUAGGGAAUCUUCCGCAAUGGGCGAAAGCCUGACGGAGCAACGCCGCGUGAGUGAUGAAGGUCUUCGGAUCGUAAAACUCUGUUAUUAGGGAAGAACAAAUGUGUAAGUAACUAUGCACGUCUUGACGGUACCUAAUCAGAAAGCCACGGCUAAAUACGUG